CACUCUUCCUGAGGUGGUCUAUAGAAGUCAAGCAAGCCAAAGAUGUUAGAAAUUUGUGAAGGGAUAAUGUUCACAGGUAACCUGUGAAGGAUGCUGUCUCAUACCAAUGUGCUUUUUUUUUUUCUUUGAUGACUAUAACCAAUAAUGGCAAUAUGAAUUUAACUUUUCUUUUAGUUGUAGUAUGAUCAAUGUUCACUAACAACUUAAAUAAUCUAUCCUUAGUUUUUUAAAUUUUGUGAUGCCUGCCAAUACUUAUGAAUGAUGUA
This 266-nucleotide long non-coding RNA is filed under the name Bos taurus (domestic cattle). RNAcentral describes it as "long non-coding RNA NONBTAT001065". The record is from RNAcentral. Lineage: Eukaryota; Metazoa; Chordata; Mammalia; Artiodactyla; Bovidae.